GAUCAUGGCUCAGAACGAACGCUGGCGGCAGGCUUAACACAUGCAAGUUGAACGGGAUUUGUGUGGUGCUUGCACCAUAUAAUGAGAGUAGCGCACUGGUGGGUAACACGUGGGAACGUACCUUUUGGUGGGGGACAACAUCUGGAAACGGAUGCUAAUACCGCAUAAGACCUGAGGGUGAAAGAUUUAUCGCCGAAAGAACGGCCCGCGGAAGAUUAGGCAGUUGGUGGGGUAAAGGCCUACCAAACCUACGAU
This 255-nucleotide ribosomal RNA is filed under the name uncultured bacterium. RNAcentral's name for it is "partial 16S ribosomal RNA". It matches the Rfam family "Bacterial small subunit ribosomal RNA", at positions 15 to 280 of the family's 1533-position model. The record is from RNAcentral.